This 823-nucleotide long non-coding RNA is filed under the name Heterocephalus glaber (naked mole-rat). RNAcentral's name for it is "lncRNA (ENSHGLG00000045882.1)". Lineage: Eukaryota; Metazoa; Chordata; Mammalia; Rodentia; Bathyergidae. The record is from RNAcentral.
GCUGAUUGAACCAUUAGUUGUUCUCCCUUUUCAUUACAGUGGCCGGGUCUGGCUGUUAGGCUGACUAGAUUGAAGAUGUAUAUAAAUACCAAAAUGUAACCAAAGCCAACACCAUAUCAUUGGAAGCAUAGACUAACUAAUGAGACCUCCAUACUAGUCAGUUUUUCCACUAUAGAUUCCAAACCCUCAGUGCAGAUAAAGGAAACAUUAAGAAACAAGGCAACAAGAUACCUCCAAAAAUUCUAAACACUGUAAAAGCUGAUCUCACGGGUACUGAUGGACAGCAAGCUGUGGCAACUAGCAAUAGAUAACUGGUACUUGGUAACUAGCUGUGGGUAACUAGUUGUGAGCACCAGUUACAGGUAUUUAGCAUUGGCUAACUAGUUAUGGGUAACUAGUAAUGGUUAACUAGUUGCAGAUGAUGGCACUGUCCCUUGCCAAAGACUGUUCCAGCCACUAGAAACCAGGAACCCAACCAGAUGCACUAAAGCCCCUGCCCCGGGGGAGCCUGCAGUCCAACAGCAACCACCAAAGGAGCAAGUUAAGGAACGUGCAGAGAAAGAACACAGAGUCGGGAAUCUGAAGCUACUUGAGUUCUGAGCAGCUGGGCCAGUGAGUGGAUGAAAUGCUGAUGGGCAGGGGAAGCCAUGUCAGCCCUGUGUCUCCACAGCAAGCUGCCUAAGGAAAUUUGUCUGAGGAUGAAGCCAGCAACUGAAAACAAAUUAGAGAUGGAGGGACCGAGUCCGGGAUGUUGCUUGAGCCCUGUGUGCAGGACUGCGGAAGCCAGCUCUAGCCCCUUUGCAAGUCUUGCUUAUUGACUCUU